Molecule: ribosomal RNA, 249 nt
Filed under: uncultured bacterium
Lineage: Bacteria
Description: partial 16S ribosomal RNA
Rfam family: Bacterial small subunit ribosomal RNA
Source: RNAcentral
CACGCCGUAAACGAUGGGUACUAGGUGUGGGAGGUAUCGACCCCUUCCGUGCCGCAGUAAACACAAUAAGUACCCCACCUGGGGAGUACGGUCGCAAGAUUAAAACUCAAAGGAAUUGACGGGGGCCCGCACAAGCAGCGGAGCAUGUGGUUUAAUUCGAAGCAACGCGAAGAACCUUACCAGGUCUUGACAUCCCGAUGACCGCUCUAGAGAUAGAGUUUUCCCUUCGGGGACAUUGGUGACAGGUGG